CACGUAGGGUGCGAGCGUUGUCCGGAAUUAUUGGGCGUAAAGGGCUCGUAGGCGGUUUGUCGCGUCGGGAGUGAAAAUCCAGGGCUUAACUCUGGACUGGCUUCCGAUACGGGCAGACUAGAGGUAUGCAGGGGAGAACGGAAUUCCUGGUGUAGCGGUGAAAUGCGCAGAUAUCAGGAGGAACACCGGUGGCGAAGGCGGUUCUCUGGGCAUUACCUGACGCUGAGGAGCGAAAGUGUGGGGAGCGAACAGG
This 253-nucleotide ribosomal RNA is filed under the name uncultured bacterium. Its description in RNAcentral is "partial 16S ribosomal RNA". It matches the Rfam family "Bacterial small subunit ribosomal RNA", at positions 524 to 776 of the family's 1533-position model. The record is from RNAcentral.